RNAcentral lists this ribosomal RNA (503 nucleotides) under uncultured bacterium. RNAcentral's name for it is "partial 16S ribosomal RNA". It matches the Rfam family "Bacterial small subunit ribosomal RNA", at positions 30 to 523 of the family's 1533-position model. The record is from RNAcentral.
AUUGAACGCUGGCGGCAGGCUUAACACAUGCAAGUCGAGCGGGGUGAUGGUGCUUGCACUAUCACUUAGCGGCGGACGGGUGAGUAAUGCUUAGGAAUCUGCCUAUUAGUGGGGGACAACAUCUCGAAAGGGAUGCUAAUACCGCAUACGUCCUACGGGAGAAAGCAGGGGAUCACUUGUGACCUUGCGCUAAUAGAUGAGCCUAAGUCGGAUUAGCUAGUUGGUGGGGUAAAGGCCUACCAAGGCGACGAUCUGUAGCGGGUCUGAGAGGAUGAUCCGCCACACUGGGACUGAGACACGGCCCAGACUCCUACGGGAGGCAGCAGUGGGGAAUAUUGGACAAUGGGGGGAACCCUGAUCCAGCCAUGCCGCGUGUGUGAAGAAGGCCUUAUGGUUGUAAAGCACUUUAAGCGAGGAGGAGGCUCUUUUGGUUAAUACCCAAGAUGAGUGGACGUUACUCGCAGAAUAAGCACCGGCUAACUACGUGCCAGCAGCCGCAGUAA